UUUUCCGGUUGAUCCUGCCGGACCCCACUGCUAUCGGGAUGGGACUAAGACAUGCUAGUCGUGCGUUUCUUAGCUAUGAUGGAGACGCGGCGCACAGCUCAGUAACACGUGGCUAACCUGCCCUUAGGACAAAGAUAAUCCCGGGAAACUGGGGCUAAUAUUUGAUAGGUGAAGAAUUCUGGAAUGAAUCUUCGCCUAAAGGGUGCCUAGGUCAUGCUUCUGGGUGCUGCCUGAGGAUGGGGCCGCGUCCGAUCAGGUUGUUGGUGAGGUAAUGGCUCACCAAGCCUAUAACCGGUGCGGGCCGUGAGAGCGGGAGCCCGGAGAUGGGCACUGAGACAAGGGCCCAGGCCCUACGGGGCGCAGCAGUCGCGAAAACUUUGCAAUACACGAAAGUGUGACAAGGUCAUCCCGAGUGCCGUCCGCUGAGGAUGGCUUUUACCCAGUAUAAAAAGCUGGGGGAAUAAGGAGAGGGCAAGUCUGGUGUCAGCCGCCGCGGUAAUACCAGCUCUCCGAGUGGUGUGGAUGUUUAUUGGGCCUAAAGCAUUCGUGGCCGGCUGGGCAAGUCCCCUGUUAAAUCCACCGAUUCAAUCGUUGGAAUGCGGGGGAUACUGUUCGGCUAGGGGACGGGAGAGGCCGACGGUAUUUCCGGGGUAGGGGUGAAAUCCUAUAAUCCCGGAAAGACCACCAGUGGCGAAGGCUGUCGGCUAGAACGCGCCCGACGGUGAGGGAUGAAAGCUGGGGGAGCGAACCGGAUUAGAUACCCGGGUAGUCCCAGCUGUAAACGAUGCAGGCUAGGUGUUUGGGCGGCUACGAGCCGCUCUAGUGCCGCAGGGAAGCUGUUAAGCCUGCCGCCUGGGGAGUACGGCCGCAAGGCUGAAACUUAAAGGAAUUGGCGGGGGAGCACCACAAGGGGUGAAGCUUGCGGUUUAAUUGGAUUCAACGCCGGGAAUCACUAGU
Molecule: ribosomal RNA, 957 nt
Filed under: uncultured archaeon
Lineage: Archaea
Description: bacterial SSU rRNA
Rfam family: Archaeal small subunit ribosomal RNA
Source: RNAcentral